Molecule: ribosomal RNA, 506 nt
Filed under: uncultured bacterium
Lineage: Bacteria
Description: partial 16S ribosomal RNA
Rfam family: Bacterial small subunit ribosomal RNA
Source: RNAcentral
AUUGAACGCUGGCGGCAGGCUUAACACAUGCAAGUCGAACGGUAACAUAAAGAAGCUUGCUUCUUUGAUGACGAGUGGCGGACGGGUGAGUAAUGCUUGGGAAUCUAGCUUAUGGAGGGGGAUAACUACGGGAAACUGUAGCUAAUACCGCGUAAUGUCGAAAGAUUAAAGUGUGGGACCUUCGGGCCACAUGCCAUAGGAUGAGCCCAAGUGGGAUUAGGUAGUUGGUGAGGUAAAGGCUCACCAAGCCGACGAUCUCUAGCUGGUCUGAGAUGAUGACCCGCCACACAGGGACUGAGACACGGCCCAGACUCCUACGGGAGGCAGCAGUGGGGAAUAUUGCGCAAUGGGGGCAACCCUGACGCAGCCAUGCCGCGUGAAUGAAGAAGGCCUUCGGGUUGUAAAGUUCUUUCGGUAGCGAGGAAGGCAUUUAGUUUAAUAGACUAGGUGAUUGACGUUAACUACAGAAGAAGCACCGGCUAACUCCGUGCCAGCAGCCGCAGUAA